This 253-nucleotide ribosomal RNA is filed under the name uncultured beta proteobacterium. Its description in RNAcentral is "partial 16S ribosomal RNA". It matches the Rfam family "Bacterial small subunit ribosomal RNA", at positions 524 to 776 of the family's 1533-position model. Lineage: Bacteria; Pseudomonadati; Pseudomonadota; Betaproteobacteria. The record is from RNAcentral.
UACGUAGGGUCCAAGCGUUAAUCGGAAUUACUGGGCGUAAAGCGUGAGUAGGCGGUCUCGCAAGUCCGAUGUGAAAUCCCCGGGCUUAACCUGGGAACUGCGUUGGAAACUAUGAGACUAGAGUGCGGCAGAGGGGGGUGGAAUUCCAGGUGUAGCAGUGAAAUGCGUAGAUAUCUGGAGGAACACCGAUGGCGAAGGCAGCCCCCUGGGUUAGCACUGACGCUCAUACACGAAAGCGUGGGGAGCAAACAGG